This is a small nuclear RNA of Cryptotermes secundus, 190 nucleotides long. RefSeq annotates it as U2 spliceosomal RNA. The transcript has a single exon. Lineage: Eukaryota; Metazoa; Arthropoda; Insecta; Blattodea; Kalotermitidae. The record is from RefSeq and is a predicted model, not a curated record.
AUAUUUGUAUCAUAAUAUUCUCUAAUAAAGUUUUAAUCUGUUCUUAUCAGCUUAAUAUCUGAUACGUCCUGCAUCGCAGGACCAGAAUAUUAAACUGAUUUUUGGAAAAUGACGGAGUGCUAGGGGCUUGCUCCACCUCUGUCACGGGUUGGCCCGGUAUUGCAGUACCUCCGGGAUCGGCCCAAAAAAA